GAUGAACGCUGGCGGCGUGCCUAAUACAUGCAAGUCGAGCGAACGGACGAGAAGCUUGCUUCUCUGAUGUUAGCGGCGGACGGGUGAGUAACACGUGGAUAACCUACCUAUAAGACUGGGAUAACUUCGGGAAACCGGAGCUAAUACCGGAUAAUAUUUUGAACCGCAUGGUUCAAAAGUAAAAGACGGUCUUGCUGUCACUUAUAGAUGGAUCCGCGCUGCAUUAGCUAGUUGGUAAGGUAACGGCUUACCAAGGCAACGAUGCAUAGCCGACCUGAGAGGGUGCACGGCCACACUGGAGCUGAGACACGGUCCAGACUCCUACGGGAGGCAGCAGUAGGGAAUCUACCGCAAUGGGCGAAAGCCUGACGGAGCAACGCCGCGUGAGUGAUGAAGGUCUUCGGAUCGUAAAACUCUGUUAUUAGGGAAGAACAUAUGUGUAAGUAACUGUGCACAUCUUGACGGUACCUAACCAGAAAGCCACGGCUAACUACGU
This 496-nucleotide ribosomal RNA is filed under the name uncultured bacterium. RNAcentral's name for it is "partial 16S ribosomal RNA". It matches the Rfam family "Bacterial small subunit ribosomal RNA", at positions 28 to 506 of the family's 1533-position model. The record is from RNAcentral.